This 440-nucleotide ribosomal RNA is filed under the name uncultured bacterium. RNAcentral describes it as "partial 16S ribosomal RNA". It matches the Rfam family "Bacterial small subunit ribosomal RNA", at positions 338 to 795 of the family's 1533-position model. The record is from RNAcentral.
CCUACGGGAGGCAGCAGUGGGGAAUAUUGCACAAUGGGGGAAACCCUGAUGCAGCGACGCCGCGUGAGGGAAGAAGUAUCUCGGUAUGUUAAGCUCUAUCAGCAGGGAAGAAAAUGACGGUACCUGACUAAGAAGCCCCGGCUAACUACGUGCCAGCAGCCGCGGUAAUACGGAGGGGGCAAGCGUUAUCCGGAUUUACUGGGUGUUAAGGGAGCGUAGACGGCAGCACAAGUCUGGAGGGAAAUCCCGGGGCUUAACCCCGGAACUGCUUUGGAAACUGGGGGGCUGGAGUGUAGGAGGGGUAAGCGGAAUUCCUGGUGUAGCGGUGAAAUGCGUAGAUAUCAGGAGGAACACCGGUGGCGAAGGCGGCUUACUGGACUGUAACUGACGUUGAGGCUCGAAAGCGUGGGGAGCAAACAGGAUUAGAUACCCUAGUAGUC